GACGAACGCUGGCGGCGUGCUUAACACAUGCAAGUCGAACGAUGAAACCGCUUCGGUGGUGGAUUAGUGGCGAACGGGUGAGUAACACGUGGGCAAUCUGCCCUUCACUCUGGGACAAGCCCUGGAAACGGGGUCUAAUACCGGAUAACACUCUGUCCCGCAUGGGACGGGGUUGAAAGCUCCGGCGGUGAAGGAUGAGCCCGCGGCCUAUCAGCUUGUUGGUGGGGUAAUGGCCUACCAAGGCGACGACGGGUAGCCGGCCUGAGAGGGCGACCGGCCACACUGGACUGAGACACGGCCCAGACUCCUACGGGAGGCGGCAGUGGGGAAUAUUGCACAAUGGGCGAAAGCCUGAUGCAGCGACGCCGCGUGAGGGAUGACGGCCUUCGGGUUGUAAACCUCUUUCAGCAGGGAAGAAGCGAAAGUGACGGUACCUGCAGAAGAAGCGCCGGCUAACUACGUGCCAGCAGCCGCAGUAA
Molecule: ribosomal RNA, 479 nt
Filed under: uncultured bacterium
Lineage: Bacteria
Description: partial 16S ribosomal RNA
Rfam family: Bacterial small subunit ribosomal RNA
Source: RNAcentral